Molecule: RNA transcript, 7171 nt
Organism: Drosophila pseudoobscura
Lineage: Eukaryota; Metazoa; Arthropoda; Insecta; Diptera; Drosophilidae
Exons: 2
Source: RefSeq, a predicted model, not a curated record
GAAACGCACAAGCAAAAAAGAAAACACCGAAAUAAAAUGCAAAUAAUACCAAAAUUAAUACAAAAUUAAUACCGACAAAUUACCAGCUGCAGCAGCAUUUUUCGCUCGUCCUGUCCCUUUGCUUGCCGAAUGCCUUUGCACUACCACACUCUUGGUGUUCCCGUCGUAGUGUGUGAGUGUGUGUCUCUCUCUGUGUGUACCUCCCACCAACAACACCACCUCCACCGCCACUACCACCACCCCGCUAGCCACAUAUGUAUGUGUCCCGCAUCCGCCCCACGCCAAACCCUCGAUCGGUGUACGUUUAUGUGCGUGUGUGUGUGUGUAGCACCCAAGUAGUUACCACCUAGAGAAAUAGAGCACGCACCCCACAAACACCAACAAAUCCACCAAUCAGCACCACCUUCAUAAACCACCGUUAAGAAGCAGCAGCAAACAACCAGAAGAAAAGCAAAAGCAAGAGAAACCACCAGCACCAGCACCACCACAGAUUGUGGCAGCCUGAAGGCAGGUCAGUGUCGUCGUGUCGGGGGCACGACAGUAGAACCAAACCCGAUCCGACCCGACCCGCAACCAAAUCAAACCGAACCGAACCGAACCGCUCCAAACCGAAUAGAACCAUCCACAACCAGUCCUGGUCUUCCUUCCGAUCUGCUCCUCCGAUAUCUGAUCCUCUGAUACCACCAAACCACAUACCAGCACCACAAUUGCACAUUACUACCAUAGAUACCCCAGGCAGUACUACUACCGCAUGGAGCGCGGCGGCACCAGCGGUGGUCAGCAGCAUCAGCAGUCGUCGCAACAUCAGCAACAGCAGCAGCAGCAAUCGCACCACCAAUCGCACCACCAGCGCCACCAGCAUGUGGUGGCCGUGCACAGCUAUGACCCCUAUCUGACGGCGGGAGGGGCGGACGAGGAGCAUACCUCGGGCACCUCGUCUUUUGACAAUCCCGCCACCAAAAAGAAACCACCCAAGCUAAAGCCAAUCCAUCGAUCCCUCUCCAUGGCCAUCGACAACUACGCCCCCGCCACGUCCUCCGUAUCGAUGGGAGAUCUCGGUCUGGACAUGGAUCUCGAUCUUGAGCUCGACAUGGAGCAUGGCAUCCUCAUCAGUGAGCAGCCGCUGAUCCAUCGCUCCGCCUCGCCGCUACCCCUUUCCAGGUCGGCAGUCGCCCUCCAUCCUCCGCAGACCCUUGCCCUCCCAGCACAACAGCAACAUCUACCCCAUCCAGCCCCCGGUAUCCAGCGCGCUGGCAGUGGUGCCCUUUCCCCAGCUCUCUCUGCCCGCCAACAACACCAUCACCACCUCCUCCAACAACAACAACAGCUACACCAUCAGCAACAACAACAACAACAACAAAAACUACACCACCAGCAACAACAACAACAACAACAACAACAACAGAUGCAUCUGCACACUUUUCAGCAUUUGGCCGCACAGGCCGCUGCUGCGAGGCAUACGCAGUCGCAAUCGCAAUCGCAAUCGCACCACCAGCAAUCGCACCGCCAACACCCCCAUUCGCAUCCGCAUUCGCAUCCGCAUCCGCUUCCGUCGAGCUCACCCACCUCCCACGCGGUGAGCCCGGUGCUCGGCCAGGGCCAGCAGCAGCACCAGCACCAGCAGCAGCACCGCCAGCAGCCGGACAUUUAUCUGGUCAGCAGCAGCAGCCUGGGCGAUGGAGCGGGCUUGGGUGUGGGUGUGGGUAUGGGUAUGGGUAUGGGCAUGGGCCGCUCGACGUUGGGAGGGAGCACAUCCCCCAUUCAGUUCAUCGAUGUGGACGAUGUGCCCAACCCGACGGUCGUCGCCGCCCAACGCCCGACGAUGCACACCCACCCGCUAAAGAAGAACAUGUUCCGGCGCUCCGACACUAUUGACGUGCAUCCGUCUACCAAUUUUCAGAUGAAGAAAACGCAUUCCUUCCACGCCCAGCAGGAUCCCGCCGCCCUGGACCAGAUACAGUUGGCCGUGGCCUCCGGAUCGGCCGCAUCCAGUCGACGCACCAGCUCGGUGCGCGGCAACUUCCUGAUGCCCGGUCCGCCAGGAGGUGCCAGCGGUGGCAAGGAAAUCUCGCGUUCCCCGUCGCCCAGUAGGCGGGGCUGCCGCUCGCAUCGCUCUUUUAACGAUCCGGGUCGCAGACCCAGCACGAAACCCGAGUCCGUGGUGGAGUCCCAGAUCCGACAUCCCUCGCUGAACGACGACCUCAUGGAGCCCAUGGACGGACGGAAUCUCUUCCCCCCCACGAACCUAUCGCUGGAAAACGAGCUCUUCGUGGAGUCCCGCUCGCGCAGCAACAGCCACACCAAAAUGGAGGAGCUGGGUCUCGCCCAGCUGACUGCCGCCGCCGUGGCCGUGCAGAGGCUGCGCAAGGCCUCUGGCUCCUUCGAGGGGGCUGUCGACGGCGGCCUGAGCAGCCACACCGCCACCCAUCCGCCCGCCACCUCGAGCAGCGUCAAGCAGAAACGUGAGCCGCAUCCCCACUCCCGCCAGCAGAGCACCCACAGCCUUGAGCUGGACGGCAGACCCUCGACAUCCGCAGCGGCGGCGGCGGCCGCAGCGGCAGCAGCAGCGGGCGGAGGCCAUCCCCUGCAGCUCCACAGCGCUGCGGCCGCGGCCAGUGCGGCGUACCACUUCAAGAGGGGGGCACAGCACGGACGCUCGCUCUACCUCUCGCCCAGCAACCUGGAGGAGCUGACCGUGCACCGGCCGGGUGUCCUGGCGGCAGCGGCCGCCUUCCAGGGCACCAACGCCAGCGCGAGCGUGAAGCAGGCCAAGGCUCUGCACAGCGCCAGCAUGCGGCUGAGAAGCUAUCGUGAGACAUUGAGCGCGUCGAAGAAGUCGAAGAGCUUCAUCGGCGACGCGGGAGUAAUGCAGGGAGCCCAGGCGGACGACGACUUUGAGCUGAGCUCACCCCACCGACGGAACAGUCGUCCGCUGUCGACGGCAGUUCCCAGUUCGAGCGUGAACCUGGACGAAAUCAAGCGCAGUCCCCGUCCCAUCUCCAUCUCUGCGUCGGCGGCGGCGGCCGCCUUCAUCGACGAGAAGCGACCGAGCUUCGAGCGGAAGUCCUCGCUGAGCUUCGACCAACACGAGCUGGCGGACGCAGCCUUCGCCGCCCAGGUGCUGCGACCCUUUCACCACAAGCUGGCAGCCGGGCGGAAAGGCUCCGUGGGCGGGGGCUCGCACAAGCUGAAGAAGAAGUCGCUGAGCGACGAGACCGACGAGGACGAGGAGGCGGAUCGCAAGCGCAAGCGCAUCGUCUGCAUCGUCCUGGCCACCGUGCUCCUGUGCCUUGUAUGCGCCAGCGUGUUCGUCGUCGUCGUCACGCUCACCUCCGGCUCGGGCCAGUCCGGAAAGAAGGCGCACUCCUUCAGCAGAGACACCCCGGUCCACUACACCGGCAUGCGGCCCUCAUGAACUCCAACGCCCACGAGGAUGCUGUCGAGAGUAACCGUCGUCGUCGCCCCCCCAAACAGUUGUUGUCCCCACCCUCUGAUGAGAUUAGACUCGAUUUCGUUUGCAAUUUGGCUUUCGCUUCCGCUUCGAUUCCGUGCUUUCAACGUUCUUCCUCCUCGUCGUCGUCCCCCCUGUUCCUGUUGGUUCCUGUUGGCAAAUUGGGUUUCCUCUGUGCCGUACCCCGGGUCCGGCUCCAGCACCGGCUAUCGCCAUGGCUCGGACACUGAUUCCCCUCAGCCGGAUUGCCUAAUUGACGUUGGGCCACUGCCCACAGUAGGAGGAGGAGGAGUAGGAGCACCAGCAGCAAGAGCAGGACAUUGAGCUGCAACAAUCGAUUUGCCUUCCGUCAGGAGAACGAGCGGAACAUUCGGGAGAACAUGGAGCGCACGCGGAUGAUGAAGAACCGAACGGAGCUGAUGUUGCAGCGGCAACAGUUGAUGCACGUUCCAUAACAACCGAGCAGGAGCAACAGCAGCAGGAGCAGGCCACAAUAAGCAGGCGGAGGGAAGGAAGUGACACCCGCCGACUGGGGCAGAUGCCACCGGAUGAGAUACCACAACAAGAUGGCUGUGUGUCAGAAGCGGCAACAAGAGUUGUGGCAGUCAAACAGGGGAAGUACUCUUUCCUUCCUUCCUCCAGAUGUCCUGCUAUCUUCCCCCACCCCCCUACACACAAAUGUUAUGCGCACAAAGGUAAAAUAAUAAAACAAAAAAAAAAAAAAAAACAAAUCAAAGGAAUGGAAUGGAGGAGCAGCACUCCGAAGUGCUCGAGAAAAACAAAAUGAAGGCAGAAACCCCCCAAGGAGAAAUCACUUGUUUUGCAUCUAAAUGAGAGGUGAGAGGAGAGAGCAGCAUCCGGUUAGAUGCCCACCAUUGUUAGACGAUCAGAGGAGUCGCGAAUUGAACUAAAGUAAACGUUAAACAUUAAACACUAAACACUAAACACUAAAGAUUAAACAUUAAACAUUACACAUUAAAGUAAAACCAAAAGUGAUCCAGUCUAGUGCUAAGUAAGAGUCAAUAGUCAAAAAACGUUGUUAGUAGAGUUGCUGCAAUGGCAUUGUAUGUACAAUAUAGUAAAUGUUCAGGUACAGUCCGAUCUGGUUUGCCCACGAAAGAUUAGUUUGUUCGAUUUGCUUUACUGAUGAUUUUCUUUUGAUGUAUUCCCCGAACGGACCAGAAAGGACUGUCUUGUUUGUAUCGUAAUUGUUGUGCUUGGGGCUUAAUCCCUCGAUGAGGUUGAGGAGCGACGCCACCACUUCCCUUAACAAGAAAAUUGAGCCAAGGUUUCGAUUGUUCAGUUCGGAUUAACAAAAUGGUUUCAAUUUUUUGUUUGCUCAAGUUUUCCCAUUUGGUUUUUCCUCCUCGAACGGGUGGCGUCGAUAGGAAAGUGGAGUUGGUCAAUAAACCUAUAGUUAUGUGUAUUUAAAACUAUGUUGUUAACUGAAACAAGUACUCCCAAGUAAAUGUUAAAGAAAGAAGUAAAGCAAAACACACGAAUCGAAACGAAACGAAAAGUUUUUGUAACUCUAAGAACAGGAAGAGGAACUAGGAAAAGGCAAAGGAAAAAUACAGUACGAGUAUUCCAGAGAUACAUUUCGAAUAAACACAAUUUGCAUAAUGAUAACAAUAAUUCUAAUACAAUGCAUAGCUGGAAAAUCCCAAGGGAGCGGAAUAUUCAAUAGUUUCAUUCGCAUUUGGAGCGAAGAAUCGGGGAGAAUAAUUAUUGAUGUAUAGCAUAACUAAAUAACUAAAUAGCUAACUAAAUAGCAGACGAGUAAAUAAAUGUUAGUAAAUUAGCGGAUCGAUGUGAAACGGUUACUUAAGUGCAAAACGAGCUUGUUGUCGAAUUAAUUUUAAAUGGCAUUACAUUAAGUGAAACUAAGCUAAAAGGUUAAAUGUUUUUUUAGGUGUUCAAUGUUGAAAUUAAUUUGUGGCCCAAGGGGCAGACUCUCCAAUUCGCAUUGCCCCGGUCAGGUAUACAUACAUACAUAUAUAUGUACAUACGAGUAUAUAGUAGUAGGUACUAUAUAUUUUCAUAUUUCCUAUGCUAACUGAGUUGCAGGUUUGACGAAAAAUUUAGCUUGAAGCAAAAUUCUAUCGGUUUCAGCUUUGGACAGCUUGCAAGACCCCCUAGACCACCCCCCCACCCCCCGUCUACCAGUUCCCUUUGAGUGUUGCGCCAGGCGGCAAACAUUUUCCAAAGGUUUUGUGACCGAAUCUGUUUCGGGCAGUCAAUUAAUUGGAUCUAAACAGAUGAAGAAAACGCAGACGGUCCGCGGGGCUUACCAUAUGUACAUACACAUACAUAUGCAUAUACGAGUAGAUACACACACAUACGGACACACACAUUGGUGUUUCAGGGGGGAGAGGUGUUCAGCUAAGGAAAUGAAAAGCUUUAAAUUAGCUAAAUACAAUUUCAGAAAUAAACAUUGAAAACGCAUUAAACCGGAUCGGUGUUGAGAGCAUUACCAGUGCGAUAGACACAAAAAACAACACACACACACAGACAGACACACCGACCCAAGCACAGAUACAGAGAUAAACAGAUUUAUAAGAUUUGCAUUUUGGUCAAGGAAUCAAUUUCACAUUUGACCAGACAUCAAAUAAUGACAAGACACAACACACAAACACACAAACACACACACACAGACGCACAAGAGAAAAAGUACGAUACUUAGUAAUGGCAUUUAGGGGGAUUCAGACAGGGAAAUGGGAAAUGGAAAAUGGCAAAUGGCAAAUCGCAAAUGGCAGCUGGUUGUACGAGUAUGUAUUUACUAGGUUUGCAAAACUAAUUUAAGCCGUGCUAAAGCAAACGCAUGAUGCAUGAUGCAUGAUCCAUGAUUCAGGAUUCAUGAAGCGAAGAGUCGCCAGAAAGGAAACCAAACAGUUAAUAGCUAAAAUAAAUUGUCUGUAAUUAUGCGUAGAGCUAUGUAAGUGUGUAAAUUGUAAGCUGAAUUAUUAUACAACAAUAAAUAAAACUAACUACAGCCGAGGCGAAUCCAGUGAGGAGUACUCGUACAUUCUGGAAAUACUCAUAACAAACGCAAACAGCAUAUUAAGUAUUACAACAAUCAAAAUUGUUUCCCGCAAAAUCAAACUUUUUAGCCUUUGAACGAGAGACUUUGGUGCCCAAAUCCAUUUUGAGCAAUUAUUUACAAUGAAAAUACGAACGCAAAGAACACACACUCACACACACCCACACACCAACACGCAAACACACACACACCCAAAUGUAAAUAGGAAAGCGGAAACGGAUGGGGAAAAACCAAUAAAUGAAUACACCGCAUAAAUAAACAUUAAAUUAAUUAACAACUGAAAUAAACAAAAAAAAACCGAAAAGAAACACAACACAUACGCGAAAAAAACUGAUAAAACUUCCAACUUGACGCAAAGGAAUCAACUUUAACUGUUAAUUGUUGCUCAAAAUAAACAUAAAAGUGGAAAUAAAUGAAAAGUAAAGCAAAUACAAUGCAUAAAUAAAUAUAAACGAAAAAAUGAAGAAAAAAAAAUAAAAUACAUUUGAACGCAUUCGACGUUUUAUUCAUCAAGCAGAAAAUGUUGAAUCAAAAGCGAAAGCGAAAACUAAAACCGAAAUCACAAUUGUGUCACAUGUGUAGUAUAUCUCAGAAUGUAUUUGUAACUGGAAAAGUAUUGAAAUGCGCAACAAGAAUUCAAAAAACAAAUGAAAAUAAACUGAAUUUACAAAUGGAAGAGA